Long non-coding RNA from Exaiptasia diaphana, 795 nucleotides. RefSeq lists it as uncharacterized. The record is from RefSeq and is a predicted model, not a curated record. NCBI's taxonomy places the organism in Eukaryota, Metazoa, Cnidaria, Anthozoa, Actiniaria, Aiptasiidae. The transcript is spliced from 3 exons.
UUGUAUGUGCUUUCUUUCCAAAUCAUGCAAAUGUUAUUGAGUAAAACUCAGAUUCAACGGUUGCAAGACAAUUCUUUCUGCAUGGCCUUUGAUAUUUCAAGUAGUUGGAGUCAAGACAGCGGUGUUCUGGAGCAUCAAUCUGCUUAUUAAAGCUUAUAAGUAAAGGCGGAAGGCCGAAAUUUCUUGACUUCGGACACUUAAAAAGAAUGGUACAGUAAUCUUUUACUUAUCUGAGUGCCGAGCUGAUUACGUGAAUGAGUGGCAGCCGUGGAAUUGAGCUGAGAUGAAUUUCCAGGCUGCCAUAUUUGUUAUGUAUCAAUACCCAGUUUUGAUACACACUACAAACUUGACUUGACUUAACAAGCUUAACCAUGGUUCACAUUGUAUAMAAGCAAUACCCAUAGAUGAUACACAGURCUAAAAAUCAAAUUAAUCUAUGUAAUUUCCACAAUUUUUGGACAUGAAUAGAAAGUUCACAAGGUUUUAGAGUGUUAUUCUUACUAGAAGCACAGGAAACCCAAGCCAGAACUUUGAUUAGAAUAAAUGAUUAUACAUAAAAUGAAAACUUAUAAUAAAGACUACUGUAUAUUUCUCAUCAAAAUUGUUUUGUAUGGCUCAAGAGGAUAACACUUACCAGCUCAACAAGGAAUGUACAAUUUUGUUGAGAAAUAUUURUCAUGAAUAUAUAGGGGUUAGUUUAAAAUGUAUUUCAUUAUACGUUGCUACUCAUGCCAUUGAGCACUUUAUUUGAUUUUUUGAUAAAAGCAAUUAAAACUAUGAUAUACAUUUACAUUA